This 571-nucleotide long non-coding RNA is filed under the name Homo sapiens (human). Its description in RNAcentral is "HSALNT0312622". The record is from RNAcentral. Lineage: Eukaryota; Metazoa; Chordata; Mammalia; Primates; Hominidae.
CCUUAGUCUAUCUGGAGAAGGUGUCUACUCGUACUAGAAGAAACUCCUGGAGAGCAGAGCCAUGCCUGCCAUUUCCAUCAUUGCAUUACCACCACCCAGCACAGUGCCUGGCACAAAAGAGUUGCUCAAUAAAUAAAUCAGGAUGAAUGGAUAAAUACACGGACAGGCACUUUGAACUACAGAUGAGCUUAAAUACUUUGUGUUUUUCUUAGUCAAACAUGUGCAAUUAAGCAUGUGAUAAAUUAUAUGAUGACCACACCUGUGUCUUGCCUGAUGAUCUUUGCAAUCACUAAACAAAGUCAAUUUUGCCUGUUUUGACAGUUCUGUUUUCAACCUAAUCUGGUUCUUUUAACUUCUGGCUGUUGGCUUUGUUUGCGUUGUUAGCCUGACAAAGUGGCAGAUAUUGGUAUAAGCUCUUUUGUUUAAAUGCCACGAACUUUAAAAAUGCCUUUGCUUUUGGUAAGAAACCCUAGUUAGGACAGUCUAGUGGUCAGGAUGAUUUGGGUUCUGGUGCAGUAACAACAAUCCCCAAAUCUCAGUGGCUCCAUGCAGUGAGGUAUUUGUUUGCUUG